AGUCUUUUGUAGCUACUUUUGCUCUCGCAGUGUUGGUAACACAAGGAAGCAUUUUUAGUUUGUGUUUGGCCUCUUCUUCUUCUACAAACUCCUUUUCUAAUUGGUUUCAUCAUUGGCCGCCGUUUAAAUGGCGACCAAAAUUUCCAUAUUCUCCACCUACACCUCCGCCAACUACGUAUCCUCCACCAGAACAAUAUCCACCGCCGAUCAAGAAGUAUCCUCCGCCAGAACAAUAUCCACCGCCGAUCAAGAAGUAUCCUCCGCCAGAACAAUAUCCACCGCCGAUCAAGAAGUACCCACCGUCGCCGUACGAGACUUACCCUCAUCCACCGCCGAUCAAAACUUACCCUCAUCCGCCGGUGAAGUAUCCUCCGCCGAUCAAAACUUACCCUCAUCCGCCGGUGAAGUAUCCUCCGCCGAUCAAAACUUACCCUCAUCCGCCGGUGAAAUAUCCUCCGCCGAUCAAAACUUACCCUCAUCCGCCGGUGAAGUAUCCUCCCCCAGAACAGUAUCCACCGCCGAUCAAGAAGUAUCCACCGCCGACUUACCCUCAUCCACCGGUGAAGUAUCCACCGCCGAUCAAGACUUACCCUCAUCCGCCGGUGAAGUAUCCACCAC
Molecule: long non-coding RNA, 618 nt
Filed under: Arabidopsis lyrata
Lineage: Eukaryota; Viridiplantae; Streptophyta; Magnoliopsida; Brassicales; Brassicaceae
Description: long non-coding RNA (ALYR_LNC000209)
Source: RNAcentral